GACGAACGCUGGCGGCGUGCUUAACACAUGCAAGUCGAACGGAAAGGCCCUGCUUGCAGGGUACUCGAGUGGCGAACGGGUGAGUAACACGUGGGUGAUCUGCCCUGCACUUCGGGAUAAGCCUGGGAAACUGGGUCUAAUACCGGAUAGGAGCCAUUUUUAGUGUGAUGGUUGGAAAGUUUUUUUCGGUGUAGGAUGAGCUCGCGGCCUAUCAGCUUGUUGGUGGGGUAAUGGCCUACCAAGGCGGCGACGGGUAGCCGGCCUGAGAGGGUGGACGGCCACAUUGGGACUGAGAUACGGCCCAGACUCCUACGGGAGGCAGCAGUGGGGAAGAUUGCACAAUGGGCGCAAGCCUGAUGCAGCGACGCCGCGUGGGGGAUGACGGCCUUCGGGUUGUAAACUCCUUUCGCUAGGGACGAAGCUUUUUGUGACGGUACCUAGAUAAGAAGCACCGGCUAACUACGUG
RNAcentral lists this ribosomal RNA (466 nucleotides) under uncultured bacterium. RNAcentral's name for it is "partial 16S ribosomal RNA". It matches the Rfam family "Bacterial small subunit ribosomal RNA", at positions 28 to 507 of the family's 1533-position model. The record is from RNAcentral.